Molecule: ribosomal RNA, 472 nt
Filed under: uncultured bacterium
Lineage: Bacteria
Description: bacterial SSU rRNA
Rfam family: Bacterial small subunit ribosomal RNA
Source: RNAcentral
GCAGAGCAUCCUACGGGAGGCAGCAGUGGGGAAUAUUGCACAAUGGGCGCAAGCCUGAUGCAGCCAUGCCGCGUGUAUGAAGAAGGCCUUCGGGUUGUAAAGUACUUUCAGCAGUGAGGAAGGUGGGUAUGUUAAUAGCAUAUUCAUUUGACGUUAGCUGCAGAAGAAGCACCGGCUAACUCCGUGCCAGCAGCCGCGGUAAUACGGAGGGUGCGAGCGUUAAUCGGAAUUACUGGGCGUAAAGCGCAUGCAGGUGGUUUGUUAAGUCAGAUGUGAAAGCCCGGGGCUCAACCUCGGAAUUGCAUUUGAAACUGGCAAACUAGAGUACUGUAGAGGGGGUAGAAUUUCAGGUGUAGCGGUGAAAAUGCGUAGAGAUCUGAAGGAAUACCGGUGGCGAAGGCGGCCCCCUGGACAGAUACUGACACUCAGAUGCGAAAGCGUGGGGAGCAAACAGGAUUAGAUACCCUGGUAG